GAUCAUUACAAGUGACCCCGGUCUAACCACCGGGAUGUUCAUAACCCUUUGUUGUCCGACUCUGUUGCCUCCGGGGCGACCCUGCCUUCGGGCGGGGGCUCCGGGUGGACACUUCAAACUCUUGCGUAACUUUGCAGUCUGAGUAAACUUAAUUAAUAAAUUAAAACUUUUAACAACGGAUCUCUUGGUUCUGGCAUCGAUGAAGAACGCAGCGAAAUGCGAUAAGUAAUGUGAAUUGCAGAAUUCAGUGAAUCAUCGAAUCUUUGAACGCACAUUGCGCCCCCUGGUAUUCCGGGGGGCAUGCCUGUUCGAGCGUCAUUUCACCACUCAAGCCUCGCUUGGUAUUGGGCAACGCGGUCCGCCGCGUGCCUCAAAUCGACCGGCUGGGUCUUCUGUCCCCUAAGCGUUGUGGAAACUAUUCGCUAAAGGGUGUUCGGGAGGCUACGCCGUAAAACAACCCAAUUUCUAAGGUUGACCUCGGAUCAGGUAGGGAUACCCGCUGAACUUAAGCAUAUCAAUAAGCG
Molecule: unclassified non-coding RNA, 524 nt
Filed under: Cladosporium europaeum
Lineage: Eukaryota; Fungi; Ascomycota; Dothideomycetes; Cladosporiales; Cladosporiaceae
Description: sequence contains 18S rRNA gene, ITS1, 5.8S rRNA gene, ITS2, 28S rRNA gene
Rfam family: 5.8S ribosomal RNA (bases 165-318)
Source: RNAcentral